Molecule: long non-coding RNA, 811 nt
Organism: Aedes aegypti (yellow fever mosquito)
Lineage: Eukaryota; Metazoa; Arthropoda; Insecta; Diptera; Culicidae
Exons: 2
Source: RefSeq, a predicted model, not a curated record
UUUAAAAAUGGUUUGCGUAAACCAUGUCAAACAGUAACAAUAUUAGAUACUGUGCAGACAUUGUCGAAUUAUACAGAAAUUCAAACCCCCCAGAAAUGGUAAAACUAUGACUGGACCGAUUGAGAAAUUGUUGUUGAAUUUAUCGUUGCAAUACACAAACACAUAUGUAUUUUACCAUAUACAACAGUUAUUUAACAGUUUCGCAAACAGUGGUACGCUGUUGUGUUUGUGAGCGAAAAUUUUCACCGCCUAGCUGUGCACGCUUAAAAAAUAGCACACUGAUCGUAGUAACAAUUCAAAAAACUGAUCGAAAUAUUUCCGUAUUUCAAAGUAUUUCUACUAAAAUAAUAUGAAACAACACAAUUGUUAUUUUGUUCUAAACAUUUUCGUUCGAUAUGGGUGGAAAUUUGAUGAAAAUAGAAAUAUAUUUUACUACCGUUCAAACCAUGAAGUUGCAUAGAAUUGUUUUAGAGUGCCUUUUGUUUUGUUUGUUGUGAAUUGAAAAAUGAAAAUUGUGCGGAAACAAGAAUCGUUAUUCUAGCACUUAAAAGCUUCUUCCCGUUGUUUGGAGGGUAACAUCCGAAUCCCAAGUGGCCUGUUUUACAUCCGGAAUUCAUUGAGUGGGUUGUUGCAGUAAUCCAAAAAUGGAACCAUCAAACCCGGAUGUCCCCGCACUGAGACAGCAAGAAAUUAGAACGGCAAAAGCGGUAAUGGAUAAACCGAAAAAGGAAUUACGUGUACGGCAACAUAUCGAAAAUAUCGAAACUUUCCAGUAUAUUAUGGUAAUGUAAAUAAAUAUGCAUAAAAAUUA